RNAcentral lists this small nucleolar RNA (109 nucleotides) under Naumovozyma dairenensis CBS 421. RNAcentral describes it as "Small nucleolar RNA snR66". It matches the Rfam family "Small nucleolar RNA snR66". From Rfam's summary of the family: snR66 is a member of the C/D class of snoRNA which contain the C (UGAUGA) and D (CUGA) box motifs. Most of the members of the box C/D family function in directing site-specific 2'-O-methylation of substrate RNAs. Lineage: Eukaryota; Fungi; Ascomycota; Saccharomycetes; Saccharomycetales; Saccharomycetaceae. The record is from Rfam by way of RNAcentral.
UUUCUAAAUAAUAUGAUGAAAUAUACAUGCAACAUAGAGUCAAGCUCUGAGUCACUAAAAAUAGAUGACAUGGGAAGAGAAUUGCUAUUUUACUACUGAUAUUUUUAAU